Molecule: unclassified non-coding RNA, 379 nt
Filed under: Bacillus sp. (in: firmicutes)
Lineage: Bacteria; Bacillati; Bacillota; Bacilli; Caryophanales; Bacillaceae
Description: Bacillus sp. (in: Bacteria) contains 16S-23S intergenic spacer region
Source: RNAcentral
UCCGGUUUGUCACCGGCAGUCACCUUAGAGUGCCCAACUGAAUGCUGGCAACUAAGAUCAAGGGUUGCGCUCGUUGCGGGACUUAACCCAACAUCUCACGACACGAGCUGACGACAACCAUGCACCACCUGUCUCUUCGUCUCCCGAAGGAGAAACCUCUAUCUCUAGAGUUUGCGAAGGAUGUCAAGUCCUGGUAAGGUUCUUCGCGUUGCUUCGAAUUAAACCACAUGCUCCACUGCUUGUGCGGGUCCCCGUCAAUUCCUUUGAGUUUCAGCCUUGCGGCCGUACUCCCCAGGCGGAGUGCUUAUUGUGUUAACGUCGGCACUAAGGGUAUUGAAACCCCUAACACCUAGCACUCAUCGUUUACGGCGUGGACUAC